UAGACAGUGUGCUUCAAGGUACAAGGC
This 27-nucleotide non-coding RNA is filed under the name Mus musculus (house mouse). Lineage: Eukaryota; Metazoa; Chordata; Mammalia; Rodentia; Muridae. The record is from RNAcentral.